CACCUCCAGAGAAAGUAACAGCUCUCAAUUGAUUAGCUGAGGAAGACACCAGACAAAUGAGUUACACUGUUUUGGACUCCCCAACACAAUCCAGCCACCGGCUGAAUGCCACCAAAUUACCUUCUAGUUAAAGGUUUAUGGAGCAAACGAAUCACCUAUUCAAUAUCUGCUUGAAUUUCUGACUCAAAAUACAUCAGAAGCCUCAGGGGCUGGAUCCUGACAUGAACCAGACACCUCCAGAAUUCUAUCCCAAGCAAAAGAUUAUUUCAAGGCCAGAACUCACUCCCUGCUGGAGACUGACUACAAGAUCCACUGAGAUUGAUUUGUAACCUGAUUGGGCCCACAGUGAUGCUAGCCCCUUCACCAGAUGGAACAAUAAUUCCAGACAAGCCAUCAGAGCAGAGAGCAGAGGAGAGGAGAAGCAGCUGGAUGUCAGAGACUGCAGUUUGACGUUGGAGAAAAGCAGCUUGACUUCAGAGGGACAGCUUGACAGCAUGGAUUCAGAGAGGAGAAGAUCACCUUCCUGCUCCGCCCCCUUUCCAGCUCCCUUUCCCACUGAGAGCCACUUACACAGGCAAUAAAAUCCUCUGCAUUCACCACC
RNAcentral lists this long non-coding RNA (601 nucleotides) under Pan troglodytes (chimpanzee). RNAcentral's name for it is "lincRNA". The record is from RNAcentral. Lineage: Eukaryota; Metazoa; Chordata; Mammalia; Primates; Hominidae.